UGUAUCCUUCCUAGUGCUGCUUCUUGCAGCCCUUAUCCUCAUGCCUCAAGGGCUUGCUACUUACUACAAACCAAUUAAGAAGCCACCAGUGUACAAGCCUCCAGUGUACAAGCCACCAGUGUACAAACCACCGGUUUAUAAGCCAAAACCACCGGUUUACAAGCCGAAACCACCGGUUUACAAGCCACCAUAUAAGAAGCCACCAUACAAGAAACCACCUUAUGGAAAGUACCCUCCAGUAGAGGACAACACCCAUGCCUAAAGCAAGCAAUGAGGUCUAUUAUCUACUUAAUAAAUAAGAGGAACUGCUUUGUGUUUUCUAGCAUUGUGACUUACAACUUCGUAGCAAUGCAUAUUCUUGACUCUUGCAUGCACUUCAAUCCUUCGUAGCAUUAAUGAUGUGGCCAAGUCAUCAUGAGCAUCAUACUUAUUUCUUUGUGAAUGUAAAUCAAAAUUAUAAGAGAGAAAAUGGUGCUUUUGUACUACAGAUUACUAUAAAUAAAAAACUUUUAUGGUUUUCAGAUUGUGCUGGUUGAUUGAUUUGCUCUACCAUUAAUUAUGACGAAACGUAGUUUUUUUUUUUCUCUUUUUUAAUCCGUAAAAAUAAAAAAAAUAAAAAAAUAAAUUUAUAAUAAUUCACACUUUAUUUAAUUAAUCGAAAUAAAUUCCAUAAUAGAUGAUACAUAGUUUGACAUACUAUUGUUAAGCUUAAGAUUAAAGAUCGACCCUAUGUUGCAACUAAACUUUCUACAAUCAAUUUUAUAAAUUGGAUUGGUGCAUGUAAGUCUAGCUAGCUAGAGGCAGAAGAACAGUACUAGAGUAGUAGAUGGAAGCCACUCUCCACGCACCUCAAAUAACUCGCAAUUAAACUUGAGCAUAACAUCAAUAGCGACUUAAGUUAAUUUCAAUUAUGGGCUCUAUUUGAACAAAUUUCUCUAUAAAUAUUUCCAGAAGAAAAUAUUAAGAAAACAAUAAAUUGAACUUCUCAUUUAAGUUAAAAUAAACAUAUUUGUAUAUUUUUUAUAUAAAAACUCUCAUUUAACUUCUCUUAAAAAUAUUGAAGUAUAUAAAUUAAUUUUAGCUUAUGAAAAAAAAAAUCAACUUAUUUUAAUUUUCUAUUCUUAAAAAGCCAUAGUUAUAGUUAAUGUGUACAAAGACCAGUUCCUACGAGAGUUGCUGUAUCCUCCUAAACCAAAUAUCCGAAUACUCCUACUCAGUAAGAAUAUUUUGAUAUCUGUUAAUAAUUUUAUAAUAAAUUAUUUAUUUAAUUUGACAUUUUAAUAUUUAAUUUCUUUCCAAGUUUACCCCUUUUCCAUAUGACCAGUCAACUUAUCCUCUUCAUUCGACUUUAAAAAGAGUGGGUGGUGGUGCGGUGAAGCUGAAAACCACACACAAUGAUGGUGGUGGAGAAUGUGAAAAUGGUUGUGGUCGGAGAAGGAGGUACAAGGGACAAAGUUAACUGAGGAAAAAAAAAACUCAGCGUGAGAGAGGGUCUUUUGAAAAAAAGGACAAAUUUGGAAAGGAGAAAAAAAGUUAAAAAGUGUGUUAACAAGUGUGAAUGCUUAGGUGAUUCAGUUACUUUUUCGCCACAUAUGAUCGGAGGAAUAAACAUUUCUCUUUUUCAUAUUACUAUUUUUGUAUGUUUGUCUACACGUACAUGUGGACGGUUAUUUGUAUCAAGUAUCAACUACAUAUGGGUGUCAAAAUUUAAAACUGAACCGAAUUUAAUGAAUUGAUUCAACAACUCUAAUAUAUAUGUGAUGUGAUUUGAAUUUUAAUAAUUUGCGUACGAUUUUAAUUUAAUUUUGAACCUACUUCAGUACAAAAAUUUACGUAUAAUCUUACUACAAGUACUUAAGUCACCACAAUCAUCUACACUCACAUCUUGAAAAAGUGACAUUGAUAGCAAAUUCAUGAAGUACUCACAGCUAACGUCAUUUGAUGGUUGAAUGAACCCCUCAGCUACCCAUAGCUGAAUGAGUGUUCUCUUAUCAAACUCAAAACCUUUUGGAAACAAUGAACAAUAAGCAAAACAGUUUUCCAAAAAUGAAGGAAGAUGGUCAAAACUCAGUUUAAGGAUUGCAAAGAUUUUGUCCUUCUCUUGAUCUAUCUUUGAAAACCCAACUUCCUUAGAGGCUAUUACUAUGCGCACCCAGCAUAAUUACUGGUACAUCCAGCAUAACAGCAUAAUUCCCGUUUUGUCCUUUCCUAAAAUUGAUACAAAUUGUCAAUUCAUAUAAGAUUUACGGAUUGUCCAAUCUGUAAGUAGCCCAAAUAUUUUUUUAAUUUUUUUUUUAAAAAAAUAUGUUUUAUGAAUUAAUUUAAAAUUAAUGAUUCAUGCAAGAAUCAAACUUAUAACUUUCACGUUAUUAACACGACAUUCUAACCAAUCUCAAUAUUCUUGUCAACCCUUUUAAGUUAUUUUCUUUAUGUUAGUUUUUAACCGAUGUUGAAAGUGCCGAUGUUGAAUGUAUUAUCGUUAACAUCGGUUUUAAAAAAACUGAUGUUAACGUUAAUUUUACAACAUCGUUUAUUUAAAUAACCAAUGUUGAUAAUAAGAAUUACACCCAAAAAAAUGUAUUAAUGUUGAUAGUUAACAUCGGUUUUUUGGAAAAAUCGAUGUUAACGUAACUUAACAUCGGUUUUUUUAUAUAAAAUUGAUGUUAACGUAUGUGUUAAUGUUGACAGUUAACAUCGGUUUUUUGGAAAAACCAAUGUUAACGUAACUUAACAUCGGUUUUUUUACAGAAAACCGAUGUUAACGUAUGUGUUAAUGUUGACAGUUAACAUCGAUUUUCUGUAAAAAAAAAGAAAACCGAUUUUAACGUACGUUAACAUCAGUUUUUUCCAAAAACCCGAUGUUAACGUAUGUGUUAAUGUUGACAAUUAACAUCGGUUUUUCCAAAUAAUCGAUGUUGUUUUCAGGAUUUUUUUUUAAAUAUUCUCUCUGUUUUUACAAAAAAAACCAAAAUUUAACCUGUAAAUUUAAAAUUAGACCACACAGCAUAUAUGAUUUGCAUUUUGCUUUCAAAUAGGUUUUAGCAGAAAACUAGCUAGUAAACUAUUAAAAUGAAACAUCAAUUGUAAAAAAUGUAAUGCAAAGUACGGUAAACUAAUUAAGUAACCUAAAGUUACAUAGUUCCCUAACAUCCUAUGUUUGAUUUCUAACUUUUAGAUAAUAUUGUGCCCACUGCAUGUGAAGCGCCUUGAAUCUCUCUGCUUCCAAUGAUCUAACAUCAUUAAAAUACUGGAUGAUCAAAUAAAAGAUAAAUUAAUGAUGUAAUAACAAUGAUAAGAAAAUCAACUUUGUUUGAAAUAAACAAUUACCGUUUCUCAAUUAUUCCUGAAAGUUCCUGAGAUUAUCGUGGACAUCUAGUGCAUGACGUAAUAGCUGUACUCAGUGUUUCGUUUUUGUCUAUUACACUAAAUACAUAAUGAAAUUUGGAUAUUAAUUAAGCGUUAACUACAAUUAGUGUACACACACAUAAGCAGUAUAUAUAAUUAGAAGUUUAAUUUAAAUCACGUACCUUAACAACAAUCCACCUAGCCGCAGCCUUGGAUUUAGGUUGUGGAGUAUCAUCAAGUCCUUUCAAAGCACUAUUGAAUACGAGGAACAUUAAAAUAUUGAUGUUGUUGAGUUAUGCUAAUGCAAAUAUAUUGAAAACAACAUUGACCUGUUAAUUAUUCCCUUAAGGUAGUUGUCUGGCCUGUUAUGUAAAGAACAAAACCAGACAACUAGGUUUUCCUUAGGCAAAAUGACGACCAUUUGCCAGUGUCCGCUGCAGUGGAGACGAAUAUGGGCUAUUGUAAUAGUAUAGAUUAUUUAAAUUCAGUUGUUGUGUUUGACUUACCAAUUCAGGUAAGCUCCAAGGUAAACAUCGCGUUUUGAACCCUGCAUCCAACUCUUGAUGUAACUUUUCGAUUCAAAUUGUGAUUGCCCAAAUCUCUGAAUGGACUGUGGCUCGAGAAAUCCAUACACAUCGGAAUUCCCCGCUCACAUACUUGUCUCAGUCAGAUGCCUGUGUUGUUAAGACAAAGUUAAUUAUGUAUGAAUUUAAAACAAUUACUUUGUUAAUUAACAGUAAUCUAAAUUGACUUACAAAAUUCACAACUGUAUAACAGAGAUGCUGAGACAUUGACCACCGUGUGCUAUUUCAUACAGAUCUUCAUGCUUUAUGUACAAGGGAAAGUCUGAAUUAAACAGCCCGAACAGGGAAGCAUCCCACAUAACCUUGAGAGGCUUCAAAAACAAUUGUGGGAUGGUCAAUGUCAUCAGAUGCAGAGGAUCAUCGACCUCACGAUCCGGGCUUUUUGGAGGUUUUGCUAGAGACACAACUGCCUGUUAAUCAAACAUAGUUAAUUAACAAGUUUUGAUUACAGUGAACAAAUCAAUUGAAAAAAAGAAACAUAUAAUCAGAGUAAAAUACCUGUUCUGAUAAACGUUUCACGAGAUGUAUCGGCCAAGCAAGGAAGGUGUUAAGUGUCUGCCCCACUAAGGUAACCUUGUCAAUGGGUACAGGAACGGGAGUCUCUGCAUCUUUAACCUCCUCAACACCAACCUUCACUUGGCCAUGCAACAAAGGGAUGUUAUGAACCACUGUGGAUCCCUCAUAAAGUCUUCCUAGGGCAACCAAGUAGGAAGGAUUUUCUUCAAUUUACAGCCCGCAUUUGUCUGAGUCAUCCGUCUCUGGAUCGUUCCCUGAGGAAUCAACACAACUCUUCUUUGUGCUGACACGAGCACUUGAGGGACCAACCUUUGGCUCCGGAGGCAGUGUAAAUCCCUGUGAUUGCAUCUGAGACUGAAACUGGGACUGCAUUUGGCUGAAGGAUGCCAUCACCUGCUGAGUAACUUUUUCUGUGAUCGACUCCUCCAGCUAGUCCCUGAUUUGUUGGGUUAACUGUUGUAGGUCUUCAGGAGGCAUAGAGGAAGAACUACGGGACAUUCGUGUAGCCAAUCCGAAAUAUUGCUUUAUGGUCACAUCAGCUCCAGCAGCACGGACACGGCCAGGGUGCUCUGAUCGCCCAAUGACAACAGUCAGGACAUCCUGACGUCUAUGGGGGACGAACGAUCCCUGUGACGCCUGCUCCUCCAAAGAAUCCUGUACAUAACACAUAUAUCUGUCCAAGGCAUUCACAAAAUACACAAAGAUAAUUACAAUUCUUAAUUGAAAAUGACUUACAAUCUUCUCAGUUAUUUCCUUUGUUGCCUCAGACGUCAUCGGCCCAGUUUUCUUUGUGUAGACCAUUUUUCACUUCAUGUGGCGUCUGAUGGGAGAUGGAGGGUCAAUGACGCCCUCAGUGCUUUCGGAUUGGGCAGCUUCCUCCAGUCUUUUCUUUGUCUUCUCAGCCAUAAGCUUUUGUUCUAAAUAUUCAUAACCCCCACGAAACAACACGUGGGGGGCAGUGUUUUGCUUCUGGAUGACUUGUGUUUUUUUCCGCACAUCCUGCAAAAAUCGAACAUUAAUGAAAAUGAUUACUACAAUGAAUUAUAAGAAGUUAUUUUUUUUGUGGAAAACAACUAAAAUGACAAACUACAUACCUCCCACGAGGGGUCUCUGCGGGUCUGACAAAACUUGGCCCAUUUCUCCUUGCUAAUGUCGCAUUUUUCACAGACAGUGUCGUCCACACCGUCCUUGUCGGCUGCAAGUGCCCAUUUCCUGGUCAAGUCAGAUUUAAACUGCCUCCACGGCUUGUCGACAGUCUGAAGAAUUUUCUUCUUUGUCCUACUGUUAGAAGCUUCAGGGAUUUCAGAUGUUAAGAUCAAGUAGUUAACAUCGGUUUUGACAUCGGUUUUGAAAAAACCGAUGUUAACUAACUCGACUUAUUUACAAAAAUGUCAUCGUGCUUUUCUUAACAUUGGUUUUUUAAAAAAUCGAUGUUAAUCGUGCGAUGUUAAAUCUAUAUUUUGUAGUAGUGUUUAGGUAUCUCAUAAAUUAGUCAAUUUUAUUUUGAGUUCUUAAAUUUUUUUCUUUUUAUUUGAUCCUUGAUAUUUUAUUUUUGAGUUCAUGCCGUUAAAAAUUUUAAAAUGCAAUUUUUUACUACUAAAAAUAAUAACAAUGUAAAUUUAUUUAAAAUAUUAAAUUACCAUUUAUGGCAAUUCAAUUGGAAAAAAUGAAGUAGAUAUGAUCAAAUAAAACCUUACAGACAAGACGAAGUCUAAGGUGGUCAAGUGAGUUAGGUGAUUUCUGGUGGUCAAAUAAUUUUUUGCCAAUAGAUUUAUUAAUAAAAUAUUAAACCAUUCAGAUGAAAUCUUUUUGUCAGUUUUUAACAAUUAAAAUUAUUUCCUCCCUUGUCUGUCGUGCACCACCAUUGGCAACACGUCACUACCUUGCUUUACUUUCCACUCUUCUUCUUUCCCUCUAUUUCCCUUCGUACUUUGACACCUCCGUAACCUCACUGUCAUGUUGUUGAAUUCACAUCCUUGAUUUUAAUUAUGACAAACCAUUAGCAAAACAAAUUGAAAGGAUGAUGGGUUUAAGUGAUGGCUAACAUUUCUCCCAAGCGUUUUAGUGUUUAUUCCUUAAGAAGCAUAAGUGUUCUUUCAUUCUGAUGUACUUAGAAUGAUGCUUAGAAAGGUUCGAAGAAUUGUUGUGAGAGUUGAAAACUUAGAAGAAUCCUUAAAGCCCAUCAAAAUGAUGAAAUUUGCUUCCCUUUGAAUACUUAGUUCUUGGCAAGAUACUGAACAACCUUACAUAAAAGAUUCAUCAAAAGAUUCAUCAAAGGCUACCAGAAGAACAUCUUGGUUUAGAAUGAAGUUAUGCAGAGUCUACAUAGAAUGACAAACACCUUGACUCUGAGUUUCUAAACAUCAGAAUGAUUCAGAAAGACUCAUAAUGCAUCACUUAAACAAUAUUAGAAGAUUAAAGUUUCACAUUUCUUCACUUUGCAUAUGCCACCACAAUCACUGUAGGCACGUUAGAAAGUAAGAAUUGACUGCAUAAAAAGAUGUAAAAUUGUUGAAUGAUGAAGUUGUCCAUGAGAAGCAUUAAUGUAAACCAUCAGAUUGAAGGACUAAAGAAAACUACUCAGCCUGACCAUAGACAAAACACUAACACACCAACAACUCAAUUUCUACUAAGUCUUUCUAAAGUAAAUCAACUUAAGAAUGUUUCAAAGUUGUGAACAAGUGUUAAGAGUGAUGAAGUUGUACGACUUCGGAUUGAAAUUUCUAUCUAAACUUCGUCAAAGGAAUUCAUUAAGCAUGGACUCAUUCUUUACAAACAUCAUAAUGACUAUUGUGAUGGUUCUUCAGAAUCCGCAUAAAAAAAGUUCCUCAGAAUGGUAAUCUCCAAAUGGUUUUGUCUACUGUCACUUCAUGAUAGUUAUAAGGUGAACCUACUUGCUCCAGAAAUGUUUCAGUUGUGUGGAGCCCACUACAAUGAUUUUCUUGGGAGCUUUAUAAGGAAUUUUAGAAGGCUAUGAAGAACAAGUUGAAGCAUUCCAAAUUUGUAUCACAUUGUGCAAGUCCUUUGAGUAAGAAAUUUGUGUUUUAGCUUCAACCCUCUCUGUUAGAGUGACCCACUUUUGUAUUGUGCUUUCAAAGCUUGUAAUAACCUUAGAUAGAAAUGAGAGAUUAAGUUCUUGAGUGGAAUCCCUCAUGUGAGGUGAAAAUCUUUAGCAUGUGUCGUAAAACCAUAGAUAUUUUUUUUUUAUGUAAAGUCCAAUAGUGACUAGCAAAGGUGAAAUCCAGUGGUGCAGCUGGUCUAGUAGAAGAUUGAAGUCUAGUAAGGAAUUGACAAGGUUGUGAAACCCAAUGGUUGUUGGUCCAGUUGUGAAUUGGUUGUGUUACUGAAAUAACAUCUUUAAGGGUGAGGAUUGGACGUAGCCCAAGGUUGGGGUGAACCAGUAUAAAAACCUUUGUGCACUUUCUUCUCUUUCUCUAUAUUUUGUUCUUGCACAAAUCUAAAACUACUUUUGUAUAAAAUACUAAAUUUGUUAACUUUUUAUCUUAACAACUAAACUAAGUUUUGUUUUAUCAAGAGGUAUUAGUAAAGAACUAUCUUUAAAACAAAAGUCUUAAAACUGCAAAAGAACUAUUUUUUUGAAUGGUUUGCAUUUUCAUUCUGAGUUGCUUGAAUUUCCAUUCUAAGCUCAUAACAGUUUUUAUAUUCUGAACUACCAUAAAAAAAACCUUUUUGUUUUCAAAGGAAGAUUAAAAGUUUUCAAAACCCCAAUUAAACCCCCAUUUUUGGUAUUUUUCUCACUUCAAUUAGCAUCAAAGUUUAAAUGAGUUAUUCACGAGCCCUUAAUGUCAAGCUUUCAAAGCUUGAGUUUGACUCAUUUAAAUAAUCAAGCUUAAUCUCAAGCUUAAAUUUGUUUGUUUAAUUAAACAAAUGAACUUAAAUGAUUAAUUAACAAGUUGAACUUGAAUAGUUCACAAAUAGUUUGUCUUAUUCACAUCCCUAACUCUUCAUUUUUUUAUCCAUAGGAAUUGAAUAAGAUAUAAAAAAAUUUAGAACACUCAGACACCCUGCUUAAUCAACUAAGUUAGACACCUUUAGUCCCUAACUCUUCAUAUGGUUAUAAUCAUAUUCUAGUAACAAUAUGUUUCAUUUCACUACCUUACUAAAUUACAGGACUGACUUCAUUAUUUUGCAACACCCUUUACAUCACAUCAUUCAUUCAUAAAAUUUGCAUUAGUUAAAUAAAAUUAUUCAUCAUCAACAACUAUGUAAUGUAUACCACCAUGCAAUCAAAGGAUAAGCAAUUAAGAAAAUAUUUAAGCUUAUAUAAUCCAAGUAGCAUGAUUGCCUUAAUUGGUACAUAAUGCAAGGCAUAAAAACCAAAAAGUGGCAGUAUGUGUAAUAACAAAAUGAAACAAAGGAAGGAGAAAAAAUUAUUUGUGUGUUACAAAUAAAGAGGAGGAAGAAGGAAUAAUUUAAAAAUAACUCCAUAUAUUAUUUGUUCUAUUAUUUUAUCCAAUGAAUUGUGAAGAAAAUAGAUGCAUUAGUAACUAAUUAUCUAUAAAAUUAUAUGAAUUGGUCCAAUAUAUUAUUUAUUUAUUUUGUAAUUGAAGAAUUUUCUCAUGAUUAACUUAGAUGAAUAAUGAAUAAGUUAAUUAUUUUGUUGCUCCUAAUUUAACCUGGUGUGUCUAUAACUCAUGGUUCAGGUUGACCCAUUCUCUUAAUCUAACUUUGUUUGUUCAUUGAGUUGCUCUUUAAUAUGGGUGGGCUUAUUAUCAACAUGGCCAGUAAUAAUGGGAAUUGAAUCAUGCACUCUCAUAAGUGUAUCCUAGAUCCCACUAUUCCGUUUGAAAUUAUUUGAUUGCCUUUAAUCAAUUAGCACUAUCUUCCCCAACCCAUUCGCGAUGUCUCCCUCCUACGAAGGUUGCUCCCUUCCUCCUUCGUCUCAAACCUGCAUAUCCUCGUUCCCUUCCUUCUUCGUCAUUGAAGGCAAGCUUCUUCCUUUCUGGUGGGGUUGGGGUUGGGUUCUGGUAGGGAUGGGUUUUGGGGGUGGCUUCUGGUAGGGGUGGUUUCCGGUGUGGAUGGGGUCGCAUUUCAAAAUGCUCAUUCUGUAACCAAAAAAUGCUUUCGGAAUGAGCUUUCCAUAAGCAAAAAAAGCUUCAAUUUUUCAUAAGCCAAAAAAACAUUCAGAAUAGUUGUUCUGGAAGUACUUUAGCUUAAGCAACGACUAUUCCAUAAGCAAAUUUGUAAAUCCAAAACAUCCUGUCUAGAAGUGUAUUUUAUAUAUUUUGUAAGGGGGGUUCCAAAAAUUAGUAUUGGGCUUACAAAAAGCCCAUUAUGGAAGCAACAUCUGCAAUCCAAAGUAGCCUUUCCAAAAGUGUAUUUUGCAUCUUUCAAAAAGUACGAUUUUGGCUUAUGGAAUGACCAUUUCGAAAACAAAAUUGCAAUCCAUAAUAGUUUUUUGGGAGUACAUUUUGUACCUUCCAAAUGUUCAUUUGAGACAACAAUAUUUUUACUUACGAAAUAGGUGUUCCAUAAGAUUUUUCCUUCUGAAAUGGUCAUUCCAUAAGUGAAUUUAUCCCUUACGGAAAGCCUAUUUCGGAAACAAGUUUACAACAUGAACGUGAAUGCACGUUAAAAUGUACCUGCAAAGUGGAGAGUUAGAGAAGGAGAGGGACUUUUGCGGUGUUGAGUUGGACUUGCUUUGUACCUUCAAUGGUUGCGAGAAAAAGAGUUGGAGAAGAUAAGAAGAACUGGAAAAGGGGUUUAGACUUGCGCUAUAGGAAGAGAAGAACGAGAAUGGGCUGCAACUACGAGAGAAAGAAGGGAAACCGAGGAUGAGGAUAGAAAGGGUAGGUUGGGGUUUAUUAAAAAAUGGGAGAUGCAUGAUACAUUUAGGGAGGUGCAGAAUUCCAGUAAUGACCAACUCAAGUCCAAUUAAUGGUGACAUCAUAAGUUAAUGACUUAGUGUCACUUUUGAUCCAUUAUGUUUCGCAAUUAUUUUGUUUUAAUACAUUGAGUUUAAAAUGUUUCAUUCCAAUCCUUUAUGUUUUUGAAAUAUAUUGUUUUGACUCUUUUUCUAAUUUUCUAUUUGAAAUGUUAGUUUUUUGUUAAUAUUUAAAUUUCAAAAUAAUUAAUUUAUGACAGUGGUGAUUAAAAAUCGUCACAAUAUUUAAAUUAAUUAUCUUAUUAUAAAUAUAAUUAUUUAAACAUUAAUUGUAGCAAUUUUUAAUUCCAACAAAUUUCUUAUUAAAUUUUUAUAAAUGAUUCUUCAUCCUUGAAGAUUCAAUCUUCAUUCCACAAAUCAACAAAUGCAGUUUACAAAUAGCAAGAACAAUUUUUAUUUGCAAGAAACAUAGAGAUGUUCACUCAAUAAUGAUAUAAAACUUGUUCUUUUUUACACAACAAAACACAAUGAGCCCUUUUUUUUUUUAUCACAUAUGACGAAAGCAACAGCUCCAGGGUCAUUAAUUAGCUUUGCAAACGGGAUCUGAUAAUCACAACCGUGGUUGAUAAUCCUCCAAUGUAAUUUGUGUUUAUAAAUUUUAUUUUUUACUCCUUUAUAUACUAUUCAUUUUCUAAAAAAGAUUACUCAUGUAUGUAACUAAAGAUUAUAUUUUUUGUUUCUGUUUAAAAAAAUGUUUUCUUAUGUUAAUUUUUUUUCUUAAUCGAUGCUUUAAUGAUAUAAGUAAUUAACUAUUUGCUCCUGCAAUGUAGUUUAAGUGUUAUGCUACAUUGUUAGUUUUUAUAUAUGCAUGUGGGAAGGUUCACUUGGAACAAGUUGCAGUGCAAACUUGGAGUCUAAUAUACAUAUAACCAUUAAUGGAAGCCUUCAUUCCAAUAGACAAUAUAUAUAAGUUGUUUCGUGCUUAUAAAAUUGUAAUGUUUUUUGUAAAGGAUGUUUAAGUGUGUCAAAUAUGUUAUAGCAAGGCAAGGUACGUAGCAGUAAACUUUAAAUGAUGAGUCAAGCAUUUCCAGUAAAUCUACUCUAAUUGCAUGUUUACAUUGAAAUUUUAAAGUAUUAUUCAUUUUAUGUUAGUAGUCCUACAGCUGGCUACUAGCUAGCAUGAAUGUUUAUGUUGUUAUUUUGUGGAGAAAGUCAAAUAAUUGUUUUAGGUGAUUAAUUUCACGCAUUUAGAUAUGGAUGCUGAAAAUUCUUAAGUCAGACUUUGAAUUGUUUCAUGUUCAUAUUAAUAUUCAUAUAAAGAGAUAAACAAAUAUGUAACUUAGCUCUAUUUUUGUUUUGGUGAAUUAGCUCUAUUUAUUAUAGUCUAAUAAUAAUGGCUGCAUGUUGGACUAAAUAGCAGAAAUAUACUUUGCGGAGAUCAUUAAUUGUGAUCAAAAUUGUGGCAUUUUUUUAUUACCACUCAUAAAAUUAUCACCAUGAAAACCCUACUAAUUACGCAUUUAACGAUCCUCAAUUAUUUCAGUAAAAUAAAUUUUUGUCUACCUUAAUUUUUUUUUUCUGUAAAAUUCUCCUAUAGUUAAAUUUACAAUAGAAAUUUUCAAACGAUACUUUUUUUAAGUAAAUAAUUAAUUAAAUUUAUGCAAAAUAAUUAAAUUAGGUCAUAUCAAAUUUAAUAUGAAUUAGAUUAUUAUUUUAAUACUUAUUUACUUACAUAAAAAUAUUUAUUUUUUAAAAAAUAUAAUUAUUCACAUGAGAUUUAUAGCAAAUAAUUUUUUAACUUAAUAUUUUUAUAACUUAUUACAACUUUUUUAAACAUUAUACACCAUUGUUUUAUUUUUUGCAAUUUAUUUUUCUGUAGUUAAGGUACAACUUUGAUGAGGAAAAUGGACCAAUAUUAUAGAUAAAUCACAUUAGUCAAAAAAAUGUGAAUAAGAUGAUUUAUUAAAAAUCAUAUCACCAUUAAUUUAAUGUUUUAUAUAAAAGACAGGUUUGAUAAUGAGUUUAUAGUUUAGGAAAUUUAAAUUAAGUGAAGGGUAAAAUGUCAUGAAUAAGUUUGAAAAUUCAUAUCUUAUUUUUAGGUAUUGAGAGAAGGAUAAUGAAUUUUAAUGAUUUUAAUAUUGUUUAUUUGAAUUUGUGCAUUCGUUCAAUGAAUUUUAUUUUUCAAUAAAAAUAUCAAAUGUAGAAAAUAAAAUAAAAGAUUUUUUCUUUUUCACUAUUUUGAUUCUUAAUUUCAUAAAUAUUUUAAAUAAAUUUUAUAUUAAAAUUAAAAAUAUAAUAAAAAUAUUUGUUUUAAUCAAACGUGUUUUUAUUUUUUAUAUGAUUUUGAAAAGAAAUUAAAAGAGAGAAAAUACAAAAUUUUACUCACAAUAUAAAUUUUUUUCAUGAUAUAAAAAAAGAAAAUAGGAUUAAUAAAAUUUUGUAUGAUAAAAUAAUUAAUAGUAAAUUUAUUUAUUCUUUCUUUUACUUAUCAUUAUUUUAAAAAUAUAUAAAAUUUCAUCAAAAAUAAAUAUAUUGUAAUUCUUCCUCAAGUUAAAUGAUAUAUAAAGUUAUAUUUUCUUAACUCUAAUUUUUCUUUAUAUAUAUAUAUAUAUAUAUAUAUAUAUAUAUAUAUAUAUAUAUAUAUAUAUAUAUAUUUUGUUAAAUUUCCCUUUACUUCCAAAUAAAUAAUAAUUUUCAUUUUCCAAAACAAAAUUAGGUGAAGAGAUGAUUUGGAAAAAUAAGUAAAAUUUGAGAUAAUUAUUUUUAAUUAUAUAAAAAUUUCUAAACAAAAAUUGUAAAUGUUUAUCUGUCAUUAUUUUUCUGAAGUUUUAAAGUUAUUGUUUAAAAAAAAUUACACCUCCUACACAUAAUUUGUCCAGUGUGUCGCACAGAAACAUGUACUAGUGUAUGAAUAUAAGAAUAACACAUCCUUAUAUAAGUAAUUUGGUGUGAUCAUUUAUAUUUUCUUUUUCUUUUAUGUGAUUCUCAUCAUAUAAUAUAAACGGUAAUAUUAAUAUAUCGUUAGUUUGAGUAAAAUUAAGUUUAUUUUUUAAAAAUAAAAUCUAAGAUUCAAAUGUUAUAAAUAAAUAAAAAAUAUGAUUAAAAAAAAGCCAUCUAAUUUUUUUUGACAAAGGUUAAUGAUAAGUUUAAUCUGAGCAAUAACAUGACAGUAGAAGCAACCGACUGCAACUCGUCUACUUGAAUAUCUUCCUAAUAAUUGUUUCAACUUUCAAGCCUCGUGUGCUUUGACAUUUAUGCUCCAUAUCCUGAAAAUUUUGAUAAGAUAAGGGACCAAUCUAUACACAGUCCCAAGGAGAUUUGCAAGUAAGAAGAGAAAAAAAUAAAAUUCCAGACCCAUUGUUGGUGAAGGCGAAAUGUGUAGUGGGUUGUCAACGCAAUGCAAUGGUUCACAGUGUGCUGGUCUUAUUGAUGUUUUUUGGUUGCAGGUUCAAUGGUGGUUCUGAUGUAGAGAAGAAGAUGAAAGGGCCAAGGAGGAGAGAAUGGAACAGAGGAAGAAGAAGAGGGUAGAUGAGGAAAGAGAGAAAGAAAAAUCCAAAAAGAAAAUAAAAAUCCCAGCCAUUGAUUUUAAUUUUAAAAUAUCUAAUAAUUUCAAUUAGUUUCCCACUAUGCCAAUCUCGUAAAACUUUCGUCUGGCACCGUGCCUCGCUGUUGAAGGGUUCCCAUGCUAGCAUCUGCCAACACGAUCUGACAUUUCAACUAGGGGUGGGUAUAUCGGUCGGUUUAGUCCGUUUAAGAUCUGACAUGUGAAAUCAAUAUUUUAAGCUUAUUGGGUAAAUCUGGUUGUAAAAUAGAAAGAUUUUUUUUCUUUUUUUUAGAUUUAUAUUGGUUUCCUAAUCCGGUAAAUAAACGAAUUGGUCCGUGGGUUCAAUUAAUAAUUUAAAAAUAAAAAUAAAAAUAUAUUUUUAAUUAUUUGGUAGGUUCGCAAGCAAGAGAGGGGCAACACACGUCAACUGAAGAAGAGAAAGUAAUCUUGUGGAUCUCGUGACAGAAUGAGAGCUGGAGAAGGAGUGAGAGUUAAAAAGAAGAGACUGCCAAGUAUAAAGUCUCAACUCAAAUACUAAAUUUAUGUAAUUUUUAUUUUAAAAUUAAUUUUAUCUUAUUAGUAAAUCUGUGUAUAAAAUUCGUUAAAUUUGCAUACUUAACGAAUCAAACUCAAAUAUUAUUUAUAAUUAUAUGGAUUUAUAAAAAAAUAAAUUGAUAAUAUGCUCAAUCCACGAAAAUAACGGACCGUCCCCGCAAACCUGAAUAGUCAUCCCUAAUUUCAACGGAGUGGAAAGUGGGAAACCAUGAAACUUGCUACGUACUGUGAAAUUAAAAGGUCCGUACUAAUGUACGAAAUUAAUAAUCUUCUCCUCCCUUGUCGUCAUUUCUCACCUCAUCAUAUACAUAAUAAUACAUUAGUACUUUUUUAGGAGGACAGGCCAUAUAUAUUUUUAACACAUUUUUAAUAUUAUUUGUUGUUAAUUAGUUUUUUAAUAAAUUAUAAGUUAAGUUAAAAUUUAUUAAAUUUACAAAACUAUAAGAAAAAAACAUUAAAUAAGAUGUAGGAUCUACAAAAUUUAUAAUUUAUAAUAAAUUUUAACUAAUAAAUUUUAACUAACAAAUUUUCAGCAUUUUUCUAUUCUUUUAGACUACAAGUAUUGAUUAAGUUAAAACAACCAUGUGUUAAUGGUUCCUAUAGUAAUAUUAUUAGGAUAGAAUAUAAUUAUUUUUGGUACAAAAAUACAUGGGAUUUAGAUAAAAAAAAAUCCUGUUAAUUAAUGUUACAAGAUACAUUAUUUAAACAUUUAAAAAUUAACAUUACAUUUAGCAUUUCAAGUUUUCAACGGAGUAGAAAGUGGGAAACGAUGAAAUUUGCUACUCUUAAUUUAAAAGGUUCGUACUAUAAAUUAUAAUGAGAUUCGUCUUUACUUUCGCACCCUCUAUACAUUAUAGUAAUUUAAAGUGCAUGUGAUAUGGUAUGCGAAUAUUUCUACCUGUUGUUUAAAAUUUAUUUAGAAUAUAGUACGACACUGAAACAUUAUUAUCUCAUAAAAAAAAUUUAUAUAAUUAAAAAUAAAUUUAAUUUAAUACAUUGAUAAUAUAAUUUUUUUAUAUCAUCAAUUAAUUAAAAAUCAUUCUAAAUAUAAAUUUUAAAAUAACUAUUAUAAAAGUAAAAAAAAUUAAUAUACACAACAAUUCAUAAUUAGAUGACAUUGCGUUUUAAUUAAUUCAUUGAAAAUUAGUGCCUUUUAUAAUAAAUAAUCUAGAAGUGAUAUUUAAAGUGGUUUCUAAUUAGUUAUUAGUAUACAUUUUUACAGUAGCAUAGUUUUAAAAUUAAACUUCCAGUAUAUGUUUUUAUUUUCUAGAUAUACAUGCAGAUUAAAAAUAUAUUUUAAAACUAAAGGAGACUUUUUUGUUAUAUAAUAAUAAUAAUAAUAAUAAUAAUAAUAAUAAUAAUAAUAAUAUAAAGUGAGAGAUGGAAAUGUAUGAGGGGACGAUGUUCGAUUUAUUUUUAUGAUGGGAACAUAAUUUUUUAAAAUAAAAAAUAAUUAGAAAAUUUUAUUUAAAAUAUUUUUAUUAUUAAUAUAUCUCUUAUUAAAAUUAUAUAUAUAUAUAUAUAUAUAUAUAUGAGAUUGCUAGCAUACUCUAAUGUUAGAGUAUUUAAAUAACCUACAUCAAAUUAUUAGAAUAAAAAGCUUAACUAUUUAUUUUGUGAUAAUAAAUUUAUUUAAAAAAAUAUGAUAAUUUAAUAUUUAUAUUUUUAAAAUUCAUUUAUUUAUCUCUUCAACUCAUUCUCUCUCCUCUCUUUUUCUCUCACAUCAUUUAAUAUUUAUAUUUUCAAAAUUAAAAUUUAAAAUAUUUACCGAGAGAAUGAAUGAGGAAAAUAAAUAAAUGAGUUUUAAAAAUAUAAACAUUAAAUUAUCAUAUUAUUCUUAAAUAAAUUUAUUAUCACACAAUAAAUAGUUUAAUCUUUGAUCUAAAUAAUUUGGUGUAGGUUAAAUACUCUAACAUGAGAGAGUAAGUUAACAAAUCAUUUUAUGAAUGUACGUAUGGGAAGGAAGAAUGUAAUAGAAAACAAAAAAGAAAGAAAAAGAAGGAAAUUAAAAAUAAUAAAUGUAAUUAAUGAUUUAAGAAAAAAAUAAAAAUAUAGUAUACAAACGAGAAAAUAAUUACAGUCAGACUCAGAAACUGUCAUGAUAUUUAUUCAUCUCUAAGUAAAACAUAAUUUUAUUUUAUUUUAUUUUCCCCUCAGAAUUUUAAAAACUCAAGUGUCUCAUGUAUAGCCAAAAAAACCAUAGACGCAUGGUAGUUGGAGAGCCGAGAGCCUACAAUUAUUUCUGAGACAAAAGAUGGAAGAUAAAGUUUACAUAAUUGUUCUCUCUCCAAUUUCUAUUAUAAGAAAAAAAAUAAUUUCAUAUUAAUUAUAAAAUUAAUUAAUUUUAUUAAAUUAUGUUAAUUCCAAAUAAAAAUAAGUUUUUUAAAAAAAUUAUUUUUCAUUAAAACUUGAUAUCAAACAUAAAAAAAAAAUUAUCCUAUCAAAUGAAAGACAUUUAUUUAAAAAUAGUUUUAUUAAAUACGGUAAAGUUAAUUAACUUUUGUUUAUAUAAAAAAAAGCAAUUUUUUUGUUGCUUAUUAAAAAGACCAGUGGGAGUACUAAUUAAAACAAAACUAUGGCUGCUAUGUAACAUGGCACCAGAGAGUCUCAAUCCUUAGAGAAAUUAAAUACCAAACUUUGACAUUUCACAGAGUGAUGGUAGUAAUAAAUGACAAGGAAUGAGACCCAGCAUGGACCCAGUCCUUUGACCACUAUUAUUGUCCAGCUCAAUUGAAAUUUUUUUAUUAAGAGUUUAACUUAGUUGAAUAUGAUAAAUAAAUUAUUAUAAUUUUUUAAUAUUUAUUUUUAAUUUUUAUGAAUAAAAAACUAUUACAAUCUCAGUUCAUUUUCUUGGGACACGUAAUCAAGUUUAAUAACUAUUUCUCAUAGCUUAAAAAUUCAGUUAUGUCGAGUAUUUAUGUACAAAUUAGUUAGAACAAUAGGCGCGUAUAGUGGUCGCCCUCUAAGACAUAUAAUUGUGAAGAUCGAAGAGAAGCUUUAUACAAUUAUUAAUGAUAAAACUAUCAUUGUUAUAUAACAUGGGGCCAUAAAUGAGUGCAUGGAUUGAAUGAUGCAAAAUUGUUACAACUUAAUUAAUUAUCUUGAGUUUUAAUUUUAAAUAUAUAUUUGUGUUAAAUACUCCGGAAAGAGUUUUAUGUUCAUAAUUAUUAUAUUUAACUUGAACAAUAUUAACUCAACUGAUGAUGCAUAUAUAGUUUAUACAAAAAAUAUAUAUAUAACAUGGGACCUAGGCGAUGGCAAAACGGGUUGGAUCUAUUCGAUCAACCCAUUUUGGGCUUUUUUUUCGAAUUAGGUUGGAAUUUUCAAUCCUUCAACUGCUUUGCUAUGUUUUGAUCCGCUACAAAAUGGGUUGAGAGGAAAGUAGAACGGACCAACUCUCUAACCCGUUUUUUUUAUUAAGAAAUAAUUUUAGUAUUUAUUUUGAUAUUUUAUACUAAUAUUUAUUAAUUUUCAAUUAGCUUAUUUUUUGUCUAAAUAAAUUAUUAUUAAAAAUUUAAGGUAAUACAUUUAAUUUUUUAGUAAGUAUUUAUUAUUUAAUAUUUAUAAAAGAUAAAAUUAAUUAAAAUACAUUUAUAAUUUAUUUUUUUAGUUUUGACAUGACAAAAACGAAAUGAACUGAACACUUUGAAUCUAUAUAUAAAAUACGGGAUGAGAUGGGAUGGAUUGAUCCGUUUUUUAUGGAUUGAUCCCUUUUUGCUAGCCCUAAUGGGACCAAAGAGUCACUAUCCUUUAGAAAAAUUCACACCAAACUUUUGACAUUACAGGCAGGGACAAUGCGAGUAAUAAAUGGCAUAGAAUGAGACCCUAGUCCUCUGGCCACUAUAAAAAGGGAUGAUUGUGUGUGUUACAUGCAUCAGCCACCACCAUUGACUAGUAUCAUUAAGAUGGCUAAUUCCUACUUAUCCUUGCUUGUCUUGAUCCUUGUAGCUCUGCUCCUCACCCCUCAAGGGCUUGCUGAUGAAUCUGAUUCUUACUAUAAGCCACCAGUUUACAAGAAACCACCAGUGUACAAGCCCAAGCCCAAGCCACCCAUUCACAAGCCCAAGCCACCCGUUUACAAGCCCAAGCCACCCGUUUACAAGAAACCCCCUUAUGGUAAGUACCCACCAGUUCAAGACAACGAUCACUUCUAAACCAUGCAACAAGGCAUGUUAAUGUUAACUAUCUACUAAAAUAAAGAGGUUCAGUUAACCUACUACGUACGUUGCUCCUUUUAAUUCCUAAAUCGUAAUUUACAACUUUGUAGGGAUGAGACAUUCUUGGCUAGCUCUGCACUUCAAUCCUUUAUUUGUACAAUGCUAUGGCCAAGUCAAUACCAUGCAUCUUAUCUAUGUGUGUCAUUGAACGAAGUAGUUGCGUGAAAAUGAUGCUUGUACUAUGAAUAAAUAAUAAAAGAACUUUAUCAUUUCAAGAUUGUGCUGUUUAGUUUAUUUGCUGAACCACCGUUACUGACCAUAAAUAAUACACAUGCAGGUCUUGUUUAGGAUAAACUUAAUUAUCCGUAA
Molecule: long non-coding RNA, 18915 nt
Filed under: Glycine max (soybean)
Lineage: Eukaryota; Viridiplantae; Streptophyta; Magnoliopsida; Fabales; Fabaceae
Description: long non-coding RNA (GMAX_LNC002462)
Source: RNAcentral